GAUGAACGCUAGCUACAGGCUUAACACAUGCAAGUCGCGGGGCAGCAUGGGGGUUGCUUGCAACUCCCGAUGGCGACCGGCGCACGGGUGAGUAACGCGUAUCCAACCUGCCCUUCACCACGGGAUAACCCGGCGAAAGUCGGACUAAUACCGUAUGUUGUCCAUUGACGGCAUCCGAUUUGGACGAAAGGCUUUGCGGUGAAGGCUGGGGAUGCGUCCGAUUAGCCAGACGGCGGGGUAACGGCCCACCGUGGCUACGAUCGGUAGGGGUUCUGAGAGGAAGGUCCCCCACACUGGAACUGAGACACGGUCCAGACUCCUACGGGAGGCAGCAGUGAGGAAUAUUGGUCAAUGGGCGUAAGCCUGAACCAGCCAAGUAGCGUGCAGGAUGACGGCCCUAUGGGUUGUAAACUGCUUUUAUGCGGGGAUAAAGUGGCCCACGUGUGGGCUUUUGCAGGUACCGCACGAAUAAGGACCGGCUAAUUCCGUG
This 490-nucleotide ribosomal RNA is filed under the name uncultured bacterium. RNAcentral describes it as "partial 16S ribosomal RNA". It matches the Rfam family "Bacterial small subunit ribosomal RNA", at positions 28 to 507 of the family's 1533-position model. The record is from RNAcentral.